Felis catus (domestic cat) is the source of this 73-nucleotide transfer RNA. It matches the Rfam family "tRNA". Rfam says of the family: Transfer RNA (tRNA) molecules are approximately 80 nucleotides in length. Their secondary structure includes four short double-helical elements and three loops (D, anti-codon, and T loops). NCBI's taxonomy places the organism in Eukaryota, Metazoa, Chordata, Mammalia, Carnivora, Felidae. The record is from Rfam.
GCCUGGCUGGCUCAGUCAGUACAGCAUGCGACUCUAGAUCCUGGGGUCAUGAGUUCGAGCCCCAUGUUAGGCA